Molecule: ribosomal RNA, 165 nt
Filed under: Musa laterita
Lineage: Eukaryota; Viridiplantae; Streptophyta; Magnoliopsida; Zingiberales; Musaceae
Description: 5.8S ribosomal RNA
Rfam family: 5.8S ribosomal RNA
About the family: 5.8S ribosomal RNA (5.8S rRNA) is a component of the large subunit of the eukaryotic ribosome.
Source: RNAcentral
GUAUGACUCUCGGCAACGGAUAUCUCGGCUCUCGCAUCGAUGAAGAACGUAGCGAAAUGCGAUACCUGGUGUGAAUUGCAGAAUCCCGUGAACCAUCGAGUCUUUGAACGCAAGUUGCGCCCGAGGCCAUCCGGCUAAGGGCACGCCUGCCUGGGCGUCACGCUU